CUGCUGCCUUCCGUAGGAGUCUGGGCCGUGUCUCAGUCCCAAUGUGGCCGUCCACUCUCUCAAGCCGGCUACUGAUCGUCGCCUUGGUGAGCCGUUACCUCACCAACCAGCUAAUCAGACGCGGGUCCAUCCCAUAGCGAUAAAUCUUUGAAGAAAAGAACAUGCGCUCUCUCCUUGUUAUGCGGUAUUAGCAGCCGUUUCCAGCUGUUGUCCCCCUCUAUGGGGCAGGUUGCCCACGCGUUACU
This 245-nucleotide ribosomal RNA is filed under the name uncultured bacterium. RNAcentral's name for it is "partial 16S ribosomal RNA". The record is from RNAcentral.